GCCAUAUUAGGAAGGUUGGAUUCCCCUCUCGGGUCUAGAAUUUACUUCUGCCAGAGAUGGGUAUUGAACCAAUGUAAUGUUUACACCCUACAAAUAUGGGAUGAAGUUGUAACAGAUACCUCGUUGGUAUAUUUGUGGUACCCCAGUAACUUGAAUGUAGAUCCAUAAACAGGCAGUUUGCUUUUGUCAACAACUGUGUAGCAUCAGUUGCUAUACCUCCAUCAUCUUUCAGUCAGUUUGUGCAACAGCCGUUAUGUGCAGAUGCACUGCUGUCAAAAGCUAUUCUAAGGUCAUUAUUUUGCAGAUCGAUUGGUGCUGCUGCAUCAUCAACAGGUCAGCCAAAAUGGUCACUUUUUGAACCAAUCAGCAACAUAACUGCUACCUCAGGUCCACACAACACACGAGUAUUGACUGACUGUCUUUCUUGCUAGUAAUUAUCAGGUGUCCAGCCUGGCGCAAUGAUGCAGGGCCCUGGUGACCAGUAAUUACUGGGUCUCUGUCAACAGUGGACAAAGCAACAAUGCAUGUCAGACCAUCUACAUCAUCAUCAAUUUGAAUAUAAUUUUCACUGGCAUCCCAGAUACCUAUUUCUUUACUACCCACAAGGGGCUAAACACAAAGGGGACAAACGGAUUAAGUCGAUUAUAUCGACCCCAGAUACCAUCAUACAGGAAAGCAACCAGGUUCAAUGCUCACAGCUUCAGCUUAAAGAACUUCAACUGACCUUACCCAGGAGCGACAACAAGCGCAUCGUACCCGUGUUUCACCGACAGCACAGUUGCUUGGCCUUUUCCAGUCAACAGCUUCCAACAUUGAACUUUUCCACCAGUAUGUAUCCUUUUCUUCUCAACACUAUACAAACACACGACACACAUACAGUUAUACCACGGGCAGCAGCUAAUGGCCACAUCUACUACAGCUUCUACACCAGUUAAAAGUUACCUUUUCACAGGUAGCACUCACAGAACUCUCUACCGACUCACAUGCGCAAAAGUACACAUCUGGCUCCAUGCCGGUGGCACAUAAAAGGACACCAUUCCAGCAUGAUCAUUACCAAUGUCGCCUUACUGGCACCUGUGCCGGUGGCAUGUGUAAAAAGAUUCAAGCAAGGUCAUUGCCAGUACCACCUGACUGGCCCAUGUGCCAGUGGCAUGUAAAAAGCACCCACUACACUCUCGGAGUGGUUGGUGUUAGGAAGGGCAUCCAGCUGUUGAUUGGAGCCUGGUGCAGCCAUCUGGUUCGCCAACCCUCAGUCAAAAUCGUCCAACCCAUGCUAGCAUGGAAAGCAGACGUUAAACGAUGAUGAUCCUGCAGAUUUACUUGCACUGGCAUGGCUGUGUGGUAAGGAGCUUGCUUUCCAACCACAUGGUUCCAGGUUCAGUCCCACUGCAUGGCACCACCUUCAGCGAGUGUCUUCUACCAUGGCCUUGGGCCAACCAAAGUCUUGUGAGUUGGAUUGGGUAGAUGGAAACUGAAAGAAGCCUGUCAUAUAUAUGUGUACAUCUAUGUCUUUGUAUCUGUGUUUAUCCCCUACCAUCACUGCUCGACAACCGGUGUUGGUGUGUUUAUGUCCCCAUAACUUAGCAGUUCAGCAAAAGAGCCUGAUAGAAUGAGUACCAGGGUUUAAAAAAAAAAGAAAGAAAAACCUAGAGUCGAUUUGUUUGAUGAAAAGCCCUUCAUGGCAGUGCCCCAGCAUGGCCACAGUCAAGUGACUGAAACAAGUAAAAGAUCAGACCUAUCACAAUUAUGAUGCAGACCCUCUUGCAUCUGGCAUGCACUGAAAUGGUAAAUGGUGUAUGUUUGUGUCAUUAUAUUUAAAUAAGUCUUAAGAAGGAAAAGGUUGAAAGUCUCAGCUCGCUCACAUCAGACAGUCUGAGAAAAGGAAGCAAGCCAAUCUUUCAAAGUCACUGUCAACUUUUUCCUUUACUCUUACUCUCUCUUACUCUUUUACUUGUUUCAGUCAUUUGACUGCGGCCAUGCUGGAGCACCGCCUUUAGUCGGGCAAAUCGACCCCGGGACUUAUUCUUUGUAAGCCCAGUACUUAUUCUAUCGGUCUCUCUUUUGCCGAACCGCUAAGUGACGGGGACGUAGACACACCAGCAUCGAUUGUCAAGCAAUGCUAGGGAGACAGACACACAAACACACACACAUAAUACAUAUAUAUAUAUAUACAUAUAUACGACAGGCUUCUUUCAGUUUCUGUCUACCAAAUCCUCUCACAAGGCAUUGGUCGGCCCGAGGCUAUAGCAGAAGACACUUGCCCAUGGUGCCACGCAGUGGGACUGAACCCGGAACCAUGUGGCUGGUUAGCAAGCUACUUACCACACAGCCACUCCUGCGCCUUUGUUAACAUUUAAUAAAUAUUUACUAAAAGCUAUUCAGUUAUCCUUCACUUUAAUAUUGAAUUGUUUUUAUGUAUAACUUCACACACACACACAUAUAUAAAUCAUCACUGUCCUCUUACAUCCACUUUUCAUGCUGGCAUGAGUUAGAGGAGUUGUCACAGUUGAGGUUCUUUCUUAUUACUAGUCCCUAUUGUUCUCAUUGUCGGGUGCUGUUGCAUAUGUCACUUUGGUUUGGUUUCUACAAACUAGAGGCCCUUCCAACUGCAAACCACUUUAUAUACAGUCCUGGCAUCACCACUAGAAAGUUUGGUAAAUCCUCAGCAAAAUUGCACUAAAGGGACCUCACAAUUCUAUGCUUUCUCUCCUCAUUUCCCAUCCACUUUACAAUGCAUGCUGGGUAUGUUUUUGUUUUGUAAUACCGGCACCAGAGAGGUUCUCAAGUCCUCUGUAGGACAGGACAAAGGAACAUCUCAACUCCACUUUGUCUUUGCUUGAUCAUCAAUCCCUUUAGAGCAGAGUUUCUCGACCACUCUUUACCUAUGGGCCCCUUUGAUUCCUGUUUCACUUGGAUGUAGCCAUCCGAUGCUGAAAAAAAAUCAUUUUUUUAUAAUUAAAUAUUAUUAGGAAUUGUAUGAACAAAAUCGUUAAAAUAUUUUGUGUAUUGUACAAGUAUAACCAAUUUCAUCAUCAUCAUCAUUUAACGUCCGUUUUCCAUGCUGGCAUGGGUUGGACAGUUCAACUGGGGUCUGGAAAGCUGGGAGGCUGCACCAGGCCCCAAUCUGAUCUGGCAGUGUUUCUACAGCUGGAUGCCCUUCCUAACGCCAACCACUCUGAGAGUGUAGUGGAUGCUUUUUGUAUGCCAAAUAUAACAAAUGUUAAAUGAAAGAGUACUCUCAUUUGCUGUGUGUAAAUGAUAUAAAUAUUUUAAAGAUGUCCUUUAAACAAUACAAACGAGAAAUUAGGCAAAAUAUAUAAAAUGAUGUCUAAAAAAACAAGAUAUUAUAUCAACCUAUGUAGAUUGUUGAAUGUUUGCAUUAUAUUUUGGGAAAUCUUCCUUUUGUCAGUUAAGACGCAGAAAAUAAUGCAAGAGUUUGGAGAACAAUUCUUAUUUUUGGCCAACCAUUUUGGUGUUGGGAAUGGAUUCUUGGAUUAUUUUCUGGUCCUUGUCUUUAGUCACAUCACCUUCCAUAUUUUACCUGACUUCUCACCUGCAUUGUUUAAAGAGCCUUUUAAAAAUAUAUCGUUUACAAUUGUUGAAUAUUAACCAGUAGUUUUGGGUUUUAAUGAACUGAAUUAACAAAUACCCAACAAAUUAUACAUCACCCCCACCCCCACCCCACACACACACACGUGCUCUCUUUCUCUCUCUUUCUCUCUUAAACUAUAGUAAAAUCAACUGACUGAAAGGCAAGCUUUCACUCCCCGACAUGAAACUCGGCCUGUUAUCAGUCUAAAGAUCUCUUCUACAAAGUCCUCUAAACUUGUUGACUGUGUUCUGUUUUCACUUAAACUCCCUUCCCACAGACACAUCCUACAUGUCUUGUGUUUUCCCAAACACAAUGACACGGUGGCUAUUCUAUAUGACUAUUAACAUUUUCAAACUCAUUUGCAUAUCCUGAUUUCCCAGUCAAAGCAAACUGUAAAUAAAUAUUGUCAUUGAGAAUAUCUCACCCGUUUUCUUCUGCAAUUUCCUUUGGACACAGCCAAUCGUAGGAGACAUUGAGCUUAAACUAGGUAUCCUGAUUUUUUCUAACAAGAACGUAUGUUCCUAGAUGGGCAGGGAGCAAACUGUUUUUACAGAGAAAUAAACAAUUGCAAUAUCAUCGAAUCUCUUUAUGGUGGCAAACUGGCAGAAUUAUUAGCACGCUGGUUGAAGUGCUCAGCAGUAUUUCAUCUGCCAUUGCGCUCUGAGUUCAAAUUCCAUCAAGGUCGACUUUGCCUUUCAUCCUUUCGGGGUCGAUUAAAUAAGUACCAGUUACGCACUGGAGUCGAUGUAAUCGACUUAAUCCCUUUGUCUGUCCUUGUUUGUCCCCUCUAUGUUUAGCCCCCUGUGGGCAAUAAAGAAAUAGAUAUUAUUCAAUCUUUUGAACUAAAUCCAUGUACUUUUAUUUUUAUCAUUGGAGAAAAAAGAGCCAUCUGAAUGUGGCCAAUGCCAGGGCUGCCUAGAUGGCUUCUGUGCCAGUGCCCAACCAAUUGUGGCCAUUGUCAGCCUCCUCUGGCUCCUAUGCCUGUAGCACGUAAAAAGCACCCACUACACUCACGGAGUGGUUGGCAUUAGGAAGGGCAUCCAGCUGUAGAAACACUGCCAGAUCAGACUGGAGCCUGGUGCACCCUCCUGGCUUACCGGAUCCCAGUCGAACUAUCCAACCCAUGCCAGCAUGGAAAACGGACGUUAAAUGAUGAUGAUGAAGUUACAAGAAAAAAGACCACGUGCACCCAGACUAUUGUUGUGUGUGUGUGUAAAGCAUAAAGUUAGAGAUGAGAGUGAGAGAUGAAUAGAGAUAUAUUCUUCCAUAUUUCUGCUGCCAUUUUAUAACCUUCUUUGUGUAGUUUUAUCAAUUUUGGUUUGCAAAAUUAUACCCAGUUGUUUACACGUAUGCUCAACAUUGUGGCUAUGUGGUAAGAGGUUUGCUUCCCAACCACAUCUAUGUGUGUGUGUGUCUUUAUGUCUGUGUUUGUCCCUCGCCACUGCUUGACAACCGACGUUGGUGUGUUUAUGUCCCUGUAACUUAGUGGUUCAGCAAAAGUGACCAAUAGAAUAAAUCCAGGCUUAAAAAAGAUACAUAGCAGAGUCAAUUCAUUCAGCUAAACAUUGAAGGUGGUGCCCCAGCAUGGUCGCAGUCUAAUGACUAAAACAAAAACGGUAAAAGAUACAAUUGUUUAUUCACAGACUGAUGCAAAUAAGGCUAAUUCCUCAUCUCAUUGUAUCUCCUUCCUCAGCUUAUAAAACCCACACCUGAUAUGUGUCUUGUCUUAUUUAAUGACUGAGUUUCCCCUAAGAAACUUUUUUCUUUUAAUUAUCCAAAUAAGGCUAAUUCCUCAGAUCAUUGGAUCAGCAAAGCCAUCACUCGAUGCAGUGUCCAUUGCAACAGAGACAUUUACACAACUUCGGAAACCCUCUUUGAAAACAAUUCACCUCUGCACAAUUGGACCCACCCCUUCUCAGCCACAUUGACCUCACCUGUGUCAAUAAAUUGUUGUUCGCAAACACUGUCCUUCAUUGGACUGAAUGAAGGAAAGUGAGCGGCUGUGCAUCCAUCAUGGGGAACCACUGACCAGUCCUCUUUGUCAUUUCCCUGUUGCCAAAGAUGUGUGCUGGUUGUACAUUCUCCUGGUGAAUAUGGAUCGCUUUCAGAUUAUUGUUUGGUCUCUCAACCCUUUCGUUACUGUAUUUAUUUUGAGAUGCUCUCUGUUUCUUUCAAUUACUUUAAAUAUAACAAAGAAUUUGGUUAUCAUUCAGCUAGUGCUAGGAACAUAAAUUGUGACUAAGGUUUGGUGGAAGAUUUUAAUUCAAAACUUAUGAAAACAAGACAUUUGUACUCAGAGCCAGAGGAGGUUUGAGCCGGGUUGGUAACAAAAGGGUUAAUGGCUUCUCUCAACCUUUUGACUGCCUCAAUGUACUGCUCACCGUUCGUGGUGUAGCGACAUUCCAGGCAGUCAAGAGGAAUCACACCAUUGUCAUCCUAAAAAAAAAACAGUAUCAUGAGUUUCUCUGAUGUUCAUUGGUUCUUGAAAGGGAACAAGAUGUGUGACAUCAUUCUAUGGGACUCUAAAUUUGUUUCUGGAUCAUAUAGAUACACCUACAUUUCACCUCCUGUAACCAGACUGAAAAAAUGUCUGCAAUAGUUUCAAAGACUUUCAGUAGAUCAGAGCAGGCAGCUACCCUUUUCUCCUUCAAAUUGGAUGUCAGCUGCUAGGGUAGACAUUUGCCCAUUCAAAAUCUUCCAGCAAUUUCUCUUAUACAUUGUGACUAAUGAUCCUGUCGUACUGCAGGCUCACAGGUUGUGAGCCAUCUGUCUACUUAAAUCAUUUCAUCCAUUUGCUGGUGAUUCAUGCGAGUGGUUGCAGUUGGUUGUCUCCUGCUGGUUUCCCUUCCUUUAAGCCUCUCCAUCCAUCUGUUUAUAUCGCUCUUGUCAGUGCUGUCAUCUCUGCAAACAGCCCAUUGGAAUCUGUGGGUGUCAGACAGACUAAUCCUUUAUUUGCUUACAAUAGAAGGAGAGUUACGUUACCAAUAUGUUCAAUUUGAAUGACAGUAAAAUAGUUAUGUCAACUUGUGCUUUACUUUCAGUCUGUGUGUGUCUAGGUCAUCUCCUGCAAGCAUGGAAAAGUGAAUGUUAAAAGGAUGGUGAUAAAGAUGUGUGUGUGUGUCCUUUUUAUUUAUAUGUAAGUGUCCCAUCUACUGAAGUUGGACAUCUGUCGAGGCAGAAACACGUCCAUGUCUCUCCCCUUUUCUCCAGACAAACAGACCAUCUUUUACUUAGUAGCUUGUCAGUUUUGAAGAAUGCACAUCUACAUGUCUCAUUCCGCUGGGGUUACAGAAGGACAACUGCUGUGCUGAUGAUGCUUAAAGCAGUAGAAACACAUCUCCCCAGCCGUCCUUUUGUCUCCAGGCAAUCAUACUGUGUUUCCUUUAAUGGCUUGUUUAGUUUUCAAGAAUUCUUGAUUUUCCUAAAAAAAUUACCCCCUCAUUUGGAAUUGGUCCCCAGUUACCACAAUGAUUAUUCUAUCUUCUCUGGAGGCAGAGAUGAUUUCCAUAGAUCAAGAAAUUUAUCUGGUAUGCUGUUUAAUAAACUUUUAUUUGCCUUUCUUGUUCAAAUAUAUACUCCUGGCCACUCACAGUUACUUAUCUCUUUUGUUUCUUGCAGCCAUUAAUUGAGACACGUUUUUUUUUUUUCUCUGCUUGUUCCUUCUUGUUGAACAAUGUAGGCUCAAAAUAUCACAGACUCUUCCAUUUUACUUGAGCAUCAAACUAAUACACCUUGUUUGUGGAGGCGCAAUGGCCCAGUGGUUAGGACAGCGGAAUCGCGGUCGUAGGAUCGCGGUUUCGAUUCCCAGACCGGGCGUUGUGAGUGUUUAUUGAGCGAAAACACGUAAAGCUCCACGAGGCUCCGGCAGGGGAUGGUGGUGAUCCCUGCUGUACUCUUUCACCACAACUUUCUCUCACUCUUACUUCCUGUUUCUGUUGUACCUGUAUUUCAAGGGGCCGGCCUUGUCACUCUCUGUGUCACGCUGAAUAUCCCCGAGAACUACGUUAAGGGUACGCGUGUCUGUGGAGUGCUCAGCCACUUACACGUUAAUUUCACGAGCAGGCUGUUCCAUUGAUUCGGAUCAACCGGAACCCUCAUCGUCGUAACCGACAGAGUGCUUCCCCCAAUACACCUUGUUUGUCGUUGCGUCACCUGUCUCUGUUUUUUGUCUUUUUGUACAAUUUAGACCCACAUACAUACUUUCUUUUAUUCUUUUAUUUGUUUCAGUCAUUUGACUGCAGCCAUGCUGGAGCACCGCCUUUAGUCGAGCAAAUCAACCCCAGGACUUAUUCUUUGUAAGCCUAAUACUUAUUCUAUCAGUCUCUUUUGCCAAACCGCUAAGUGACAGGGAUGUAAACACACCAGCAUCAGUUGUCAAGUGAUGGUGGGGGACAAACACAAAUAUAUAUAUAUAUAUAUAUAUAAAUCAAAGUCAAAAUCAAACUCGGUGACUGGCAUCCAUUGCUAGUGGAGCACUAAGAGUACCAUACAAGUGAGAUCGUUGCCAGAGCAACAAGCUGGCCUUCGUGCUGAUGGCACAUUAAACACACCAUUCGAGCGUGAUCGUUACCGCGUCACCUUACAAGCACUUGUGCUUGUGGCAUGUGAAACAUUUGAGCAAAGUCGUCACCAGUGCCACUGGACUGGCUCCUGUGCAGGUGGCACGUAAAAAGCACCAUUUGGGCGUGGCCAUUGCCAGUACCACCAAACUGGCUCUCGUGCCGGUGGCACGUAAAAGCACCCACUACACUCUCUGAGUUGUUGGCGUUAGGAAGGGCAUCCAGCUGUAGAAACUCUGCCAGAUCAGAUUGGAGUCUGGUUCGCCAGACCUCAGUCAAAUCGUCCAACCCAUGCUAGCAUGGAAAGCGGACAUUAAAUGAUGAUAUAUAUAUAUAUAUAUAUAUACACACACGACGGGCUUCUUUCACUUUCCGUCUACCAUAUCCAUUCACAAGGCUUUGGUCGGCCUGAGGCUAUAGUAGAAGACACUUGGCCAAGGUGGCACGCAGUGGGACUGAACCCAGAAUUGUCUGGUUGGUAAGCAAGCUACUUACCACACAGCCAGUCCUGAGCCUAUAUAUAUUUAGAUCAGUUCAACUCUGUUUGGGACAUAUUUCACUUGUAAAAAAAAAAAAGGUCUUUUUGCUGUAAUUUACAAGGGAGAAAGAUUCUCACUUAUGGCAAAAGGUGUAAGCACACCAAAGUCAGUUGAGACCACUUCCUAUGUGGUGCUAGAUGCAUUUUGAGCUUUUUGUACCAGUUACCUAUUGGGGUGAGACACUCUGAGCUGACUUUGCUGCGUUUAUUACAUUUUUUACCUAAAACAUGAAUUUUUCUCCAUACCAAACAGCAGUGAAAAUACCUUGUUUACAGUUUUAAUAUAUCCCAAACAUGAUGUCCCCUACCCAUACCCUCUUGCAAAUCCCCACCCACACACACAUUCCUACCUUCUCUGUCCUCACUCACUUCUCCUCACCUCAUACCUUGAGCUGUCACCUGGACACUUCUUUGCCUUUGUCUAUCUCCUUGGAAAUGUCUCCAAUUCAUUUUCACUCUCUCCUAAAUCUGAUUAGGCAUGUAACUCCUUUACAAGACGACCCUAACCCUAACCUCAACCUUUUCUCUUUUUACCUUAACCCACCCAUCCCAAUCUAGUACCUCACUUUACAAGAACCUGCUUUUUGAGACCCCGGGUUUACAAGUUUUAUUUCGCAGCUCACUUUUGUAUGGUGAACUGAAAUUCUUCAAGCACAAAAUCCAAAUUUUGAACCAAGUGCAAGAGUUUCUGCUACCAUAACAAAUUCUUCUGCAUGUUACCAAGAAAUUUAUGGAGAGCAGAAAAAAGUUUCUUCUAAGCAAACAAUUCUAGACUUGUUUUUUUUUUAAAAGAAAUCUACAAGUAAUGGUGUGCACAAGUCUAAUGCAAGAGAAAGGGAUUCAAAAAACGAUAUUAAUAAUAAUGUUUAUUUUUAUCAUAAAUGAUCUUGACAUUCUUUUUACUUUGCAUAAAAUAUUCUUUACAUUCUUUUGUUGUUUUAUUGCCAUUUAUUUACAAGUAUUAUAAAUUUUAUUGGUAAAAUAUUUUUCUGGGAACAAAUUACGAUUUAAAACGUUGCCACUAUGGGAAGUCAUUGCUCUGCUUUACUAGUUUUUGCUUUAUGAGAGAUCUCCGGGAAUGAAUCAACUUGUCUAUCAAGGAAUGACUGUAUUAGGAUGCACCCCUCCCCCUUUCUCUGGUUAUGUACACUUGCAAGCUGAAUGGCAAGCUCAAUAGUGCCAGUGGCACAAAAAUGGGGCACAAUACACACUGUAAAGUGGUUCGCAUUGAGAAAAACAUCCAAGCCUAGACACCAUGUCAAAGCAGACACUGGAGCAGAAUGCAGUUCUUGGACUCUUUGGAUCCUAUCAAAUCAUCCAACCGGUGCCUGUAUGGAACAUGGACAUUAAGUGAUGGUGAUAGUAUGUGUGUGCGGGCAUGUGUUGGAAAGAGGACCUCCUGCACCUCAUCCAAUCCCUUUCUCAGUAUGUAAACAUGCCUUAAACCUAUAUUUGUCAAAUUAAUCUCUGUUGAAAUUAUUAUCAUUUUCACAUUUAUCUGGUACAGGCAAAUUGCUUCCCAAUCACAUAGUUUUUGGUUCAGUUCCAUUGCAUGGCACCAUCAGCAAUUGUCUUCUACUACAACCCCAGGCUGACUGAAGCCUUGUGAGCAGAUUUAAGAGUUGGAAAUUAAAAGUGUACAUCUGUGUGUGUGUUUGUCCUUGCCUUGACAUCAUGUAAUAGUUGUAAACAAGACUCCUCGUCAUACAAGCAUUUGUCCAGUCUUCUAUGGAAACAUGUCUGAGCAAGUAGAAACUUGGAAACAGGAGAGGAUUAACACGGAAAAUCUGCCUCAAUAAAUUCCACCCAACCCAAGCAAGCAUGGGAGGCUGGACAUUAAAGUCACGAUGAAGAUGAUGUGUGUGUGUAUCUUUUAUCAUUUAUUGUGUUGUCUGGAAAGUUUGUGCCGAUUUAUAGUAGCUUACCUUUCGACUUAUUUUAGAACAUGGUUGAGUCCAUAAAAUAGGAUUUGACUACACCUCCAUUUAGAGCACAGUUUAAGCUAUCUUUUCGUGCAAGAAGGUUUAUGUUCCUAUAACCUGUGUUAAUUUUGUAACCCUUUAAAAUGGAAGAUAAGAAAGUUCAUUUUCAGCACUUGAUGCUUUGGGAACCAGGCAAAAAUUGCUGCAGCUCGGCUGGAAUGUGUUACCCCACCCUCCAUAUUCACCAGAUAUUGCUCCUUUGGAUUUCCACUUAUUCAGGUCUCUGCAGAAUAGUCUUAAGGGUAAAAAUUCCAAUUCCUUGGGUGACGUAAAAAGAUACCUUGAUGAAUUCUUUGCCAUGAAACCACCUCAAUUCUGGGAAGAAGGUAUUUUCAAGUUAAAGGAAAGAUGGAGACACAUUGUGCAACAAAAUGGUUCAUAUUCGGUUGAUUAAAAAUGUUAUGGCAAGUAUUUAUUGACCUUUUUCUUUCCUUUAGAAAUCUGCAUGAACUUUCCAGACAACCCAAUACUUUGUUUCAGUCAUUGACUGUGUCCAUGCUGGGGCAUGCUGCUUUUGAGAGCAAUUAUCUACAGUGCUUCUUUCUUUCUCUUUUCUUUUUUUUCUCAAAGCCUGCUGCUUAUUCUGUUGGUCCCUUUUGCUGAACUGCUAAGUUUACAGCGAUGUAAACACACUAAUACCAGUUGUUUAAUGACCCAAAGACACACACACGCGCACAUAUAAGGAGCUUCUUUCAGUUUCCAUCUUCCAAAUCCAAAAGGCAGCGAGCUGGCAGAAACGUUAGCACGCCAGGUGAAAUGCGUAGCCGUAUUUCAUCUGUCGCUACGUUGUGAGUUCAAAUUCCGACAUGGUCGACUUUGCCUUUCAUCCUUUCGAGGUCGAUAAAUUAAGUACCAGUUACGCACUGAGAGCGAUGUAAUCGACUUAAUCUGUUUGUCUGUCCUUGUUUGUCCCCUUUGUGUUUAGCCCCUUGUGGGUAGUAAAGAAAUAGGUAUUUCGUCUUCCAAAUCCACUCAAGGCUUUGAUAUAGAUGUAUGAAUGCAUCCGUGUGUGCCAUCAUCGUUCUGCUUUUGCAUGUUGUUACAGGUCAGACAAGAGUGCACAAGACAGAGUUUCUUUGGCGAUGCACCAACCCUGCCGCCUGCAUCCAAACAAGGUCAUAACCUCCCAGUCUUUUCAACAACAAACAACCAGGAUGUGGUUUGUGUGCUGAACUGGAAACAAACCUCACUGUAUGAAUGAGCCUUUUGUUAACAAAGAUUGCACAACAUGUCAAGAAGUGGACUGCAAGCACAGGACACUGUCUGUAUGAAGAAUGAGACUUGUUUAAUCAGUGGCCCAGCACAACAUUGGUAGGAGAUAGAAACUCUCUCACACAAAUGCUUAUCCAUGUGUGACAUUGAUGAACAUGAAAAUCUCAGUGUAGCAUAAGCUUAACCCUUUUGUUGCCAUAUUUCUGUUGAGAUGUUCUGUGUUUCUUUCAAUUAAUUUUAAAUAAAACAACAAAUUUAGUAAAAUAACUUAGUUAUCAUUAAGCUAGUGUUAGGAACACAAAUUGUGACUAAUGUUUGGUGGAAAAUUUUAAUUCAAAUCUUAGGAAAACAAAUUGUGACUAAUGUUUGGUGGAAAAUUUUAAUUCAAAUCUUAGGAAAACAAAUUGUGACUAAUGUUUGGUGGAAAAUUUUAAUUCAAAUCUUAGGAAAACAAAUUGUGACUAAUGUUUGGUGGAAAAUUUUAAUUCAAAUCUUAGGAAAACAAAUUGUGACUAAUGUUUGGUGGAAAAUUUUAAUUCAAAUCUUAGGAAAACAAAUUGUGACUAAUGUUUGGUGGAAAAUUUUAAUUCAAAUCUUAGGAAAACAAAUUGUGACUAAUGUUUGGUGGAAAAUUUUAAUUCAAAUCUUAGGAAAACAAGACAUUUCUACUCAGAGCCAGACCCGGUUUCAGCUGGGUUAGUAACGAAAGGGUUAAUAUUUGUUACAAUUCUUUCAGCACUGCUCCACUUGGAACCAUUCUACACUUAAAUAAUUGUGUGACAAAUUAUACAAGACUUCUAUGAAUUUACCUAUUAUUAACAUAGGAAGAGUGGGGAAUAUAUAUAUAUACACGCACACGUGUGCAUUCAGUCGUGGCUGUAUAGUAAGAAAUUCGCUUUCCAAUCACAAAGAUUUGGGUUCAGUCCCUUUGUGUGGCACCUUGGGCAAGUAUCUUCUACUAUUGUGUCGAGGCAACCAAAGCCUUGUUAGUGGAAUUGGUAGGUGGAAACAGAAAGAAAUCUGUCAUAUAUAUAUAUACAGGGUGUGUAAGGUAUUCGAGGACAUGUCUUUUUGGGAUUGUUGCUGCAGUUUUUGCUAACUCUGUAUAAUCUUUAUUCCAGAACAUAAUAAUGGCAGACACUCAGCUUACUCAAGAAAGGAAGAAGCAUGCUGUUAAUGUGGUU
This 13067-nucleotide long non-coding RNA is filed under the name Octopus vulgaris (common octopus). Lineage: Eukaryota; Metazoa; Mollusca; Cephalopoda; Octopoda; Octopodidae. The record is from RNAcentral.